Molecule: ribosomal RNA, 253 nt
Filed under: uncultured bacterium
Lineage: Bacteria
Description: partial 16S ribosomal RNA
Rfam family: Bacterial small subunit ribosomal RNA
Source: RNAcentral
AACGUAGGGGGCAAGCGUUGCUCGGAUUCACUGGGUGUAAAGGGCGCGUAGGCGGAUAAACAAGUCGGAUGUGAAAUCCCGGGGCUCAACCCCGGAACUGCAUCCGAAACUGUUUAUCUGGAGUAGUGGAGAGGAAAGCGGAACUCCUGGUGUAACGGUGAAAUGUGUAGAUAUCAGGAGGAACGCCGAUAGCGAAGGCAGCUUUCUGGACACUUACUGACGCUGAGGCGCGAAAGAGUGGGGAGCAAACAGG